GAANACUACACUGUCUCCCCCCUAAAAUCAAUGAANCUAAUCUCCUCGUGAAGAAGCGAGGAUACAAAUAUAAGACGAGAAGACCCCAUGGAGCUUUAAACAAACCCCAACUGCUCCCUCCCUAAUCAUAGAAAUUGAGCAUUAAUGACGGGUAGUUUUCGGUUGGGGUGACCGCGGAGUAAAACAAAACCUCCACAAUGAAUGUAAUAAAAUACUAAUAAAAGAACCACAAUUCUAAUAAUCAAAAAAUUGACAUAUUUGACCCAAACACUUGAUCAAUGAACCAAGUUACCCUGGGGAUAACAGCGCAAUCCAUUUUAAGAGCCCCUAUCGACAAAUGGGUUUACGACCUCGAUGUUGGAUCAGGGUAUCCUAGUGGUGCAGCCGCUACUAACGGUUCGUUUGUUCAACGAUUAAAACCCUACGUGAUCUG
Molecule: ribosomal RNA, 433 nt
Filed under: Leptopelis flavomaculatus
Lineage: Eukaryota; Metazoa; Chordata; Amphibia; Anura; Arthroleptidae
Description: partial large subunit ribosomal RNA
Rfam family: Bacterial large subunit ribosomal RNA
Source: RNAcentral